UAAGGAGACCAUGCUAUGGAAUAGAUCGCGUUCUGUCAAUUCAGAGGACAGGAAUGAUCUGCAGCUGCAUUUGAACAUAUUUGGUGACUACAUCUCAAAGAUGACCAAGAGAGAGGAUCGAGCUAUGACUUUGCACAUCCCAUCGACUUCGGUGUUCACCAGUGCAAUCAUCAGAAGAGCCAGGCAAUUCUAGUAUUCAAGUAUUUCAUUCUGUAAUACUUACCUCAAAAUUUACUAAAUAAAGAAAACCGCAUGUGGCAGUUGGUUAAAAAAAUCAA
Molecule: long non-coding RNA, 278 nt
Organism: Lineus longissimus
Lineage: Eukaryota; Metazoa; Nemertea; Pilidiophora; Heteronemertea; Lineidae
Exons: 2
Source: RefSeq, a predicted model, not a curated record